GUCAUUUAGAGGAAGUAAAAGUCGUAACAAGGU
RNAcentral lists this ribosomal RNA (33 nucleotides) under Aureobasidium sp. RBF-6C1. RNAcentral describes it as "partial 18S ribosomal RNA". Lineage: Eukaryota; Fungi; Ascomycota; Dothideomycetes; Dothideales; Saccotheciaceae. RNAcentral also lists the same sequence under 1 other name. The record is from RNAcentral.